RNAcentral lists this ribosomal RNA (393 nucleotides) under uncultured bacterium. Its description in RNAcentral is "bacterial SSU rRNA". It matches the Rfam family "Bacterial small subunit ribosomal RNA", at positions 28 to 424 of the family's 1533-position model. The record is from RNAcentral.
GAUGAACGCUAGCGGCAGGCCUAAUACAUGCAAGUCGAACGGUAAGGCCCUUUCGGGGGUACACGAGUGGCGGACGGGUGCGUAACGCGUAUGCAACAUGCCUUCCAGCGGGGGAUAUACCAGGGAAACUUGGCGCAAUACCCCAUAGAAUUACGGGACCGCAUGGUCUUGUGAUUAAAACUCCGGUGCUGGGAGAUUGGCAUGCGUGACAUUAGCUAGUUGGCGGGGUAACGGCCCACCAAGGCGACGAUGUCUAGCUGGUCUGAGAGGAUGAUCAGCCACACUGGGACUGAGACACGGCCCAGACUCCUACGGGAGGCAGCAGUAGGGAAUAUUGGACAAUGGGGGGAACCCUGAUCCAGCAAUGCCGCGUGCAGGAAGAAGGCCUCGGUU